Molecule: ribosomal RNA, 224 nt
Filed under: uncultured fungus
Lineage: Eukaryota; Fungi
Description: partial small subunit ribosomal RNA
Rfam family: Eukaryotic small subunit ribosomal RNA (bases 93-224)
Source: RNAcentral
GGCCUGGUGCGCGCCGUCCGCUUCGGUUACGGAGUGUGUGCGGUUGUGCGCCUGCCAUCCUUCUGACCAGUAUGCUGUGCCCUUCACUGGGUGUCAGGUGCUGAUCGGAUCUUUUACUUUGAAAAAAUUAGAGUGUUCAAAGCAGGCUUGCGCUAUGAAUACAUUAGCAUGGAAUAAUAAUUUAGGACUUUUGUUCUAUUUUGUUGGUUUCUAGGACGAAAGUA